RNAcentral lists this ribosomal RNA (497 nucleotides) under uncultured bacterium. RNAcentral describes it as "partial 16S ribosomal RNA". It matches the Rfam family "Bacterial small subunit ribosomal RNA", at positions 28 to 507 of the family's 1533-position model. The record is from RNAcentral.
GAUGAACGCUGGCGGCGUGCCUAAUACAUGCAAGUCGAGCGAACGGACGAGAUGCUUGCUUCUCUGAUGUUAGCGGCGGACGGGUGAGUAACACGUGGAUAACCUACCUAUAAGACUGGGAUAACUUCGGGAAACCGGAGCUAAUACCGGAUAAUAUUUUUAACCGCAUGGUUCAAAAGUGAAAGACGGUCUUGCUUUCCCUUAUAGUUGUAUCCCCUCUGCAUUGGCUGUUUGGUAAGGUAACGGCUUACCAAGGCAACGAUGCAUAGCCGACAUGAGAGGGUGGACGGCCACACGGGAACUGAGCAACGGUCCAGACUCCUACGGGAGGCAGCAGUAGGGAAUCUUCCGCAAUGGGGGAAGGCCGAACGGAGCAACGCGGCGGGAUGGAUGAAGUUCUUCGGAUCGUAAAACUCUGUUAUAAGGGAGGACCAUAUGUGUAAGUAACAGUGCACAAAGUGACGGUACCUAAUCAGAAAGCCACGGCUAACUACGUG